Penaeus vannamei (Pacific white shrimp) is the source of this 72-nucleotide non-coding RNA. The record is from the annotation of a RefSeq genome assembly. Lineage: Eukaryota; Metazoa; Arthropoda; Malacostraca; Decapoda; Penaeidae.
GUUUUCGUGGUGUAGUGGAUAGCAUGGCUGCCUCGUAAUCAGUAGACUCGGGUUCGAAUCCCGACGGAGACU